Cryptomeria japonica (Japanese cedar) is the source of this 1692-nucleotide RNA transcript. It is a transcript of the gene named protein phosphatase 1 regulatory inhibitor subunit PPP1R7 homolog, with no coding region annotated. NCBI's taxonomy places the organism in Eukaryota, Viridiplantae, Streptophyta, Pinopsida, Cupressales, Cupressaceae. The record is from RefSeq and is a predicted model, not a curated record. The transcript has 7 exons.
AAUUAAAAAAGUGUACGUAUCCUAAUCCAAAAGAACCUUGUAAAAAGAAAACUUUCUCUUGGACCGAAUGGAACCGAAUCCCCUUUGAGAAAAAAGAAAAAUGCUCCUCCAUUUACUUUUCUAGGUUUUUCCUGCUUAUUCUUUCUUCUCUCAGGAAUGUAAUUUGGAAACGGAGGUAUUUCCCAAUCUGAUAAAUAAUUUUUGUUAGGCACUUUGAAUUGAAUUAAACUGAAAAAUGAUGGGGGAAUCGAAGCCCGAAGGCGAAGUGUUCCUUUCCCAAUCUGAUCUCUCCCCUCAUGGAGAGAAAUAUGAUGAAGGAAACAAAGAAGAAGAUACGAUACUUGACCUCACAAGCUGUCAGCUCCACGAUUUAGAGGAGGUUGAACUUCCGGUGCAGUUGACAGAAAUAGAUUUCAGUGCAAACAGGCUCAAGCUCUUGGAUGACAGAAUAGCUCACCUUACACGCCUGAAAAAACUUAGUUUGAGGCAGAAUCUUUUUACCGAUGAUGCCCUUCAACGCCUGUCUCAAUGGCCAGCUAUCUACGCCCUUCAGGAAUUGGUGCUUAGGGACAACAGACUCAAAAAGAUACCUGAUAUUAGUAAAUUUAAGGAUCUUGUCAUCUUUGAUGUGUCAUUCAACGAGAUUUCUUCACUCAAGGGAAUGUCAGAGGCUUCUCCAGUGCUUAAGGAACUGUACCUUUCUAAGAACGAGUUAACCAAGAUAGAAGAACUUGAUCACUUGCAUCAACUGCGAAUACUUGAACUUGGCUCAAACAGGUUGCGUGUGAUGGAGGGUUUGGAAAAAAUGGCUGUACUGCAAGAACUCUGGCUGGGUUGCAACCGUAUUCGUACUGUAGAUCUCUGUGGUUUGAAAUCUCUUAUUAAAAUAAGCUUGCAAAGCAACCGCCUCACAUCUAUGCUUGGUUUCAAUGAUUGCAUCAGUCUAGAGGAGCUUUAUUUGAGUCAUAAUGGCAUCUCAAAGAUGGAAGGGCUUUCCACUCUAGUCAAUCUCAUGGUGUUAGAUGUAUCAUCAAAUAAAUUGACUUCUAUAACGGGCAUUGAAAAUUUAGCAAGGUUAGAGGAUUUGUGGCUAAAUGAUAAUCAAAUAGCAUCUUUAGAUGGCAUUGAUUCUGCACUUGCUGGUUCAAGGGAGAAGCUUACUACAAUUUAUCUUGAGCACAAUCCAUGUGCAAAGGACCCAUCUUAUAUAAGCACACUGCGACUCAACUUUCCAAGUAUUCAGCAGAUUGACUCCAACAUUUUUUGAGGUUGAAUACACUGUUUGCUUUCAUAGGGUUGUAUAGCAUCAAUCCUAGAUCUCUUCAUGGCUUUUGAGCUACCAUAUGGGUCUAAUAAGUGCCAGAAAUUGGAGAGAAUAAAUGCCCUUUAGUUAGUUGAGUGCCUAAAUGGCUUUGUUCUGCCUGGAUUCUGUGGGUUAUUACCUCUGGAAAGGGGUGUCCCUGGUUGCUAUGCACCAAACUUGUUCCAUGAAGUUGAAUUGUGAGCGAAUUUUUAUUUUUGUAUUUUCUGGGUCCAUCGAAGUCACUGGAGAAUAAUACAACUUUUGAGUGUAGAAAUGCUGCCGUUCCUUUUUCAUAAAAAAAUCAUCAUACUACAUUUGCUCUCAUAGUUUCUAAUGCUGUAGACAUGAUUGGCAAGUGUUUUAGUAAAUUGUCAGAGAAUUUUUUAUCA